Molecule: ribosomal RNA, 436 nt
Filed under: uncultured bacterium
Lineage: Bacteria
Description: bacterial SSU rRNA
Rfam family: Bacterial small subunit ribosomal RNA
Source: RNAcentral
AGCGAACCGCUGGCGGCAGGCCUAACACAUGCAAGUCGAGCGGACGUAGCAAUACGUCAGCGGCAGACGGGAGAGUAACACGUGGGAACGCGCCCUUCGGUUCGGGAUAACUCAGGGAAACUUGGGCUAAUACCGGAUACGCCCUAACGGGGAAAGAUUUAUUGCCGAAGGAACGGCCCGCGUCCGAUUAGCUAGUUGGUGAGGUAAUGGCUCACCAAGGCGACGAUCGGUAGCUGGUCUGAGAGGAUGGCCAGCCUCACUGGGACUGAGACACGGCCCAGACUCCUACGGGAGGCAGCAGUGGGGAAUAUUGCGCAAUGGGGGCAACCCUGACGCAGCGACGCCGCGUGGAUGAUGAAGGCUUUCGAGUCGUAAAAUCCUGUCCUUAGGGAAGAUAAUGACGGUACCUAAGGAGGAAGCCCCGGCUAACUACGUG